RNAcentral lists this ribosomal RNA (625 nucleotides) under Deronectes hispanicus. RNAcentral describes it as "partial 16S ribosomal RNA". The stretch from base 386 to 544 matches the Rfam family "Bacterial large subunit ribosomal RNA", at positions 2473 to 2632 of the family's 2925-position model. Lineage: Eukaryota; Metazoa; Arthropoda; Insecta; Coleoptera; Dytiscidae. The record is from RNAcentral.
GUCCUUUAGAUAAGAUAAUUUAAGGUCUAACCUGCCCACUGAAAAAUUUAAAGGCCGCAGUAAUUUGACUGUGCAAAGGUAGCAUAAUCAUUAGUUUUUUAAUUAAAAGCUUGUAUGAAUGGUUGGACGAGAUAAAAUCUGUCUCUGGUUAAUAAUUAGAAUUUAAUUUUUAAGUUAAAAAGCUUAAAUUAAUAUAAAAGACGAGAAGACCCUAUAGAUCUUAAUAUAAUAUUUUAAAAUUUUAUUUAAGAUUAUUUUAUUAAUUUUAUUAUUUUAUAUUUUAUUGGGGUAAUAAAAAGAUUAAAUUAAUUCUUUUUUUUUAUUUUACAAUUAUAAUUGAUUAUUUGAUCCAUUAAUAGUGAUUAUAAGAUUAAGUUACCUUAGGGAUAACAGCGUAAUUUUUUUAAAGAGUUCAUAUCGAUAAAAAAGUUUGCGACCUCGAUGUUGGAUUAAAAAUUAUUUUGGGUGUAGAAGUUCAAAAUUUUGGUCUGUUCGACCAUUAAAUUUUUACAUGAUCUGAGUUCAGACCGGUGUAAGCCAGGUCGGUUUCUAUCUUUAUUUAAUUAAUAUAUUUUAGUACGAAAGGACCAAAUAUUUAAUAUAUUUAUAUUUUUAUUUUGAUUAA